This 259-nucleotide ribosomal RNA is filed under the name uncultured bacterium. RNAcentral's name for it is "partial 16S ribosomal RNA". It matches the Rfam family "Bacterial small subunit ribosomal RNA", at positions 9 to 262 of the family's 1533-position model. The record is from RNAcentral.
GAGUUUGAUCGUGGCUCAGGAUGAACGCUAGCUACAGGCUUAACACAUGCAAGUCGAGGGGCAGCAUUUUUAUAGCAAUAUAAAAGAUGGCGACCGGCGCACGGGUGAGUAACACGUAUCCAACCUGCCGAUAACUCGGGGAUAACCCUUCGAAAGAAGGCCUAAUACCCGAUGGCAUAUCCCUUCCGCCUGGUUGGGAUAUUAAAGAACUUCGGUUAUCGAUGGGGAUGCGUUCCAUUAGCUUGUUGGCGGGGUAACG